This 305-nucleotide unclassified non-coding RNA is filed under the name Hevea brasiliensis (rubber tree). Lineage: Eukaryota; Viridiplantae; Streptophyta; Magnoliopsida; Malpighiales; Euphorbiaceae. The record is from RNAcentral.
CUGGGCAGUUUUGUGACCCAACUUAGGCUAGCAGUUUGGUUUGGUUUUUGGCUUUUUUGGGUUCAGUGGUCUUCAUAAAAAUUGUAGCCCUAUAUCUAAGACUUCUAAUGAUAUCAAAUUCAGAUCAUUUGGACAUUUUUUGAGUGAGUUAUGGCCAAAAGACUGAUUACUGUUCAUAUGAUCAAAUUCUGGGUUCACAUUUUAGGUAAUCCGGAUUUGGUCACUUUUUAGGUGAAAUUUUGGCAUGACUUCUACAUGAAAAUUGGUCUAUUAUAGGUAAUAUUUCACCUCCAAUUGGCCUCAUA